This is a long non-coding RNA of Phalaenopsis equestris, 395 nucleotides long. RefSeq lists it as uncharacterized. The record is from RefSeq and is a predicted model, not a curated record. Lineage: Eukaryota; Viridiplantae; Streptophyta; Magnoliopsida; Asparagales; Orchidaceae. The transcript has 3 exons.
CAAUCCUUUAUUUACAUUUUUCUCCUAUUUCUCUCUUAUUUCUUAUAGCAGUUGUUUGUCUUCUAAGAUGAGCGAUCCUAAGUAUGGGUAUCCUUAUCCUGCCCAAGGAUAUUAUCAAGGUCCUCCAGUCAUGGCGCCGCCUCAGUAUUCUGCAGCCCCGCCUCGAAGAGAAGUUGGUUUUCUUGAAGGAUGUCUUGCUGCUCUUUGCUGUUGUUUUCUUCUUGAUGAGUGCUGCUGUGAUCCAUCGGUCGUCUUUGUCACUUAAUGGGUAUUAGUAAAGUUAUUCUAUUCAAAGCUUUUUUAUUGUUUAAUGUCAACUAUGACAUAUGGGGUUAGCCAAAGGAGGUGUAUUAGUUGAGAGAGAGAGAGAGAUUUUGUAAAAUAUUGUAUUUGCA